GAUGAAGAACGUAGCGAAAUGCGAUAAGUAAUGUGAAUUGCAGAAUUCAGUGAAUCAUCGAAUCUUUGAACGCACAUUGCGCCCGCUGGUAUUCCGGCGGGCAUGCCUGUUCGAGCGUCAUUUCAACCCUCAAGCUCUCCGGAGUUUGGUGUUGGGGCGCCUGGGGCUUUUCGACCUCAGGGCCCUCAAGUCCAUCGGCGGGACCGCCAGGACACUGAGCGCAGUAGUAUUAUUUCGCUCGGUAGGAUCUUCCACGGCGGGUCGAUCUGGCCGCUAAACCCCCCAAUUCUCACCAAAGGUUGACCUCGGAUCAGGUAGGGAUACCCGCUGAACUUAAGCAUAUCAAUAAGCGGAGGA
RNAcentral lists this unclassified non-coding RNA (357 nucleotides) under soil metagenome. Its description in RNAcentral is "partial contains 5.8S ribosomal RNA, internal transcribed spacer 2, and large subunit ribosomal RNA". The stretch from base 1 to 120 matches the Rfam family "5.8S ribosomal RNA", at positions 35 to 154 of the family's 154-position model. The record is from RNAcentral.